UACGUAGGGCGCAAGCGCUGUCCGGAAUCAUUGGGCGUAAAGAGCUCGUAGGUGGUCUGUUACGUCUGCUGUGAAAUCCUAGGGCUUAACCCUGGGCCUGCAGUGGAUACGGGCAGACUAGAGGUAGGUAGGGGAGAAUGGAAUUCCCGGUGUAGCGGUGAAAUGCGCAGAUAUCGGGAGGAACACCGGUGGCGAAGGCGGUUCUCUGGGCCUUACCUGACACUGAGGAGCGAAAGCGUGGGGAGCGAACAGG
Molecule: ribosomal RNA, 253 nt
Filed under: uncultured bacterium
Lineage: Bacteria
Description: partial 16S ribosomal RNA
Rfam family: Bacterial small subunit ribosomal RNA
Source: RNAcentral